Heterocephalus glaber (naked mole-rat) is the source of this 917-nucleotide long non-coding RNA. The record is from Ensembl. Lineage: Eukaryota; Metazoa; Chordata; Mammalia; Rodentia; Bathyergidae.
GGCUAAACUGCUGGCAAAACUCUUAUUGUUUGUACCACUCUUGAAAAAGACUCUUGGGACUAGCAGUGGAAUCCUUGCCAUUGAUUGGCUGGUUAAAUAGAGGACUAUUAGCUUCAGACAGGCUAGAUUGAUUAUACAGCAGCAGCAAGAGCUAAGACUCGGAGCUGAGAUGUCAGCUCUGAGACCCAGGAAGAAAUAACAGACUUCACCUUGGAAUAGCUCACCUCACUCCUGCAUCAUUAAAGCGGAUUUUGUAAAGAAAACAAAAAUCAACCCCCAUUCCAGCCCCUCCUCAUUCCACCACUGAACAGAAAGAGUUUCCUGCUCCAGGAUUCAAGCACAGCAACAUAUAAGAAGAAAACAUAUCACCAAAUAUUGAUAGAGUAAAUAUAAAGAAAGGUGCCGUUUAGAGAUUAAGGAAUGCGCCAGUGACCACGCGGGACCCAACUGACAAAUUGGUUUAUUGUGGUUGGUGGAAUGAUGGUUCUGCAAAGAUUUCCGUAUCUUUAAAAAAAGUACUUUACUGAUAUGAUUAAGGGUCUUCAGAUGGCAAGAUGUCUCUGGUUGUUUGAGUUGGUGUGGUCCAAUCCUAAACCCCACUAGAAGAGGUAGAAGAGUCAAAAACAGAGAGAGGAGAUGCAGCAGUAAGUGGAAAGUAAAUGGGAUUUUCACUGUUUUACAUCGAACAUAUUGCAGAAGUAUAAAGAUUCCAAAACAUAACCAAAGCCAUGGUUAUACCUCACAAGGAAGUAUGCACAAAGUCAGUAUAACCAAGGAAAUGACAGUUUACUAUCCUAACUAAUCUUCAAAACUCAGCCAAAAAAAAUGCAAAUAUGAAUAAACAAGAUGACAAGAUGGCUCUGAAAACCCUCAGCCAAAAGCUGAUUUCAGGGUACGAAAGUCUAAGAAGACAUAGG